RNAcentral lists this ribosomal RNA (488 nucleotides) under uncultured bacterium. RNAcentral describes it as "SSU rRNA". It matches the Rfam family "Bacterial small subunit ribosomal RNA", at positions 26 to 524 of the family's 1533-position model. The record is from RNAcentral.
AGGACGAACGCUGGCGGCGUGCCUAACACAUGCAAGUCGAACGAGGUCCAUCCGGUAGCAAUACUGGUGAAGAUCAAGUGGCGAACGGGUGAGUAGCACGUGAGCAACCUGCCCCGAAGACCGGGACAACACCGGGAAACCGGUGCUAAUACCGGAUAUCCCCACCGAGUCGCAUGGCUUGGUGAGGAAAUGGAUUCCGCUUCGGGAGGGGCUCGCGGCCUAUCAGCUUGUUGGUGAGGUAAUGGCUCACCAAGGCUUCGACGGGUAGCUGGUCUGAGAGGACGAUCAGCCACACUGGGACUGAGACACGGCCCAGACUCCUACGGGAGGCAGCAGUGGGGAAUCUUGCACAAUGGGCGAAAGCCUGAUGCAGCAACGCCGCGUGAGGGACGAAGGCUUUCUGAGUUGUAAACCUCUUUCAGCAGGGACGAUUGUGACGGUACCUGCAGAAGAACGCCCGGCAACUACGUGCCAGCAGCCGCGGUAAU